AUUGAACGCUGGCGGCAGGCCUAACACAUGCAAGUCGAGCGGAUGAAGGGAGCUUGCUCCUGGAUUCAGCGGCGGACGGGUGAGUAAUGCCUAGGAAUCUGCCUGGUAGUGGGGGAUAACGUCCGGAAACGGGCGCUAAUACCGCAUACGUCCUGAGGGAGAAAGUGGGGGAUCUUCGGACCUCACGCUAUCAGAUGAGCCUAGGUCGGAUUAGCUAGUUGGUGGGGUAAAGGCCUACCAAGGCGACGAUCCGUAACUGGUCUGAGAGGAGGAUCAGUCAAUUGGGAAGUGAGACCCGGCCAACGCCACUGGGGGGGGCAGCAGGGGGGAAUAUGGGAAAAGGGCGGAAAGCUUUACCCAACAAGGCGGGGGUUGUAAAGAGGGUUUUGGGUUUGAAAAGAACUUAAGGUGGGGGAGAAGGGGUUUAUUUUAAUACCUUGCUUUUUUGACUUCACCAAAAAAAGAAGCCCCGGCUAUCUACGUG
This 484-nucleotide ribosomal RNA is filed under the name uncultured bacterium. RNAcentral's name for it is "partial 16S ribosomal RNA". It matches the Rfam family "Bacterial small subunit ribosomal RNA", at positions 30 to 507 of the family's 1533-position model. The record is from RNAcentral.